AAAUGGCCUUGGGGUUUCUAAGCCCAUAUAUAGGCCUGUGAUUGUGGAUAAACCAACCAUAAAGCCACCAGAAAAAGUUCCAGUUCACCUGUUUAAUAUUAUUUCAUCAAAUAAACCCAAUAUGUUCCUUUCAGCAAAUCCUGUAUUUGUAAAGGGUGAAGAAGGAAAACUGGGAACAAAGAGCAGAGUGGAAAAAUCUGAAAGCAAAUGUCAUCAUUCUGCCCCUAAAGAUGGGGUGGUGCCAUUCACCAAGCAGGGAUAUGCCAAGGAAAUGGAAGUCAUUACAAAGGAGCAUAAGGACUUUGAUAAAUAAGUGGAUAGAAAAGAUG
Long non-coding RNA from Erinaceus europaeus (western European hedgehog), 329 nucleotides. RefSeq lists it as uncharacterized. The transcript has 3 exons. Lineage: Eukaryota; Metazoa; Chordata; Mammalia; Eulipotyphla; Erinaceidae. The record is from RefSeq and is a predicted model, not a curated record.